GCCAGGUGUGGUGGCACACACCUGUAUUCCCAGCUACUCAGGAGGCUGAGGCAGGAGAAUUGCAAGUUUGAGGUUAGCCUGGGCAACUUAGUGGGAUCCUGUUUCAA
Molecule: small RNA, 107 nt
Filed under: Marmota monax (woodchuck)
Lineage: Eukaryota; Metazoa; Chordata; Mammalia; Rodentia; Sciuridae
Source: RNAcentral